GAUGAACGCUGGCGGCGUGCCUAAUACAUGCAAGUCGAGCGAACGGACGAGAAGCUUGCUUCUCUGAUGUUAGCGGCGGACGGGUGAGUAACACGUGGAUAACCUACCUAUAAGACUGGUAUAACUUCGGGAAACCGGAGCUAAUACCGGAUAAUAUUUUGAACCGCAUGGUUCAAAAGUGAAAGACGGUCUUGCUGUCACUUAUAGAUGGAUCCGCGCUGCAUUAGCUAGUUGGUAAGGUAACGGCUUACCAAGGCAACGAUGCAUAGCCGACCUGAGAGGGUGAUCGGCCACACUGGAGCUGAGACAGGGUCAAGACUACUACGGGAGGCCGCAGUAGGGAAUCUGACGCAGUGGGCGAAAGCCUGACGGAGCAACGCCGCGUGAGUGAUGAAGGUCUUCGGAUCGUAAAGCUCUGUUAUUAGGGAAGAACAUAUGUGUAAGUAACUGUGCACAGAUUGACGGUACCUAAUCAGAAAGCCACGGCUAACUACGUG
Molecule: ribosomal RNA, 497 nt
Filed under: uncultured bacterium
Lineage: Bacteria
Description: partial 16S ribosomal RNA
Rfam family: Bacterial small subunit ribosomal RNA
Source: RNAcentral